UGGGCCGAGAGGCUGUGCCGCGGUUCCUCUAACCCUAACCUAUCUGGCUGUGGGCGCCGUGCUUUUGCUCCCCGCGCGCUGUUUUUCUCGCUGGCUUUCAGCGGGCAGAAAGGCGUCGGCCUACCGCCGUCCACCAGGCAUUCUGAGCAAAUCAAAAAAUGCCAGCUGCCGGCGCGCCCGCCUCUCCCAGGGCCCUGCGGCGUCCGGCCGCCCCCGCGUCCCGCCUGGAGGCCGCGGCCGGCCUGGGGCCUCUCCGGAGGUGCCCGCUGCCGCCGCGAAGAGUUGGGCUCUGUUAGCCGCGGGACCCGCGGGGGCUGCCGGCGAGUGGCGGGCCACGGCCGCAGGGAAAGGAACGGAGCUGGUCCCUGCUCACAGUGUCUUCCCUGAGCUGUGGGAAGUGCACUGGGGACUGGGUUCCCACAAGC
This 425-nucleotide telomerase RNA is filed under the name Nannospalax galili (Upper Galilee mountains blind mole rat). RNAcentral describes it as "Vertebrate telomerase RNA (ENSNGAG00000005920.1)". It matches the Rfam family "Vertebrate telomerase RNA". Rfam says of the family: Telomerase is a ribonucleoprotein reverse transcriptase that synthesises telomeric DNA. Telomerase RNAs differ greatly in sequence and structure between vertebrates, ciliates and yeasts, but they share a 5' pseudoknot structure close to the template sequence. The record is from Rfam by way of RNAcentral. Lineage: Eukaryota; Metazoa; Chordata; Mammalia; Rodentia; Spalacidae.